RNAcentral lists this ribosomal RNA (253 nucleotides) under uncultured bacterium. RNAcentral's name for it is "partial 16S ribosomal RNA". It matches the Rfam family "Bacterial small subunit ribosomal RNA", at positions 524 to 776 of the family's 1533-position model. The record is from RNAcentral.
UACGUAGGGCGCGAGCGUUGUCCGGAAUUAUUGGGCGUAAAGAGCUCGUAGGCGGUUUGUCGCGUCUGCUGUGAAAACUGGGGGCUCAACCCCCAGCCUGCAGUGGGUACGGGCAGACUAGAGUGCGGUAGGGGAGAUUGGAAUUCCUGGUGUAGCGGUGGAAUGCGCAGAUAUCAGGAGGAACACCGAUGGCGAAGGCAGAUCUCUGGGCCGUAACUGACGCUGAGGAGCGAAAGCGUGGGGAGCGAACAGG